GCGCCCGUAGCUCAAUUGGAUAGAGUAACUGGCUACGAACCAGUAGGUUGGCCGUUCAAACCGGCCCGGGCGCGCCA
This 77-nucleotide transfer RNA is filed under the name Candidatus Omnitrophota bacterium. RNAcentral's name for it is "Candidatus Omnitrophica bacterium tRNA-Arg". It matches the Rfam family "tRNA". From Rfam's summary of the family: Transfer RNA (tRNA) molecules are approximately 80 nucleotides in length. The record is from RNAcentral. Lineage: Bacteria; Pseudomonadati; Candidatus Omnitrophota.